Molecule: ribosomal RNA, 440 nt
Filed under: uncultured bacterium
Lineage: Bacteria
Description: partial 16S ribosomal RNA
Rfam family: Bacterial small subunit ribosomal RNA
Source: RNAcentral
CCUACGGGAGGCAGCAGUGGGGAAUAUUGCUCAAUGGGGGAAACCCUGAUGCCGCGACGCCGCGUGAGUGAAGAAUUAAUUCGUUACUUCAAGCUCUAUCAGCAGGGAAGAAAAUGCCGGUACCUGAGUAAGAAGCCCCGGCUAACUACGUGCCAGCGGCCGCGGUAAUACGUAGGGGGCAAGCGUUAUCCGGAUUUACUGGGUGUAAAGGGGGCGUAGACGGGGCGCCAAGUCUGGAGUGAAAUGCCGGAGCUUAACUGCGGAACUGCUUUUGAAACUGGCGAACUAGAGUGCGGGAGGGGUAAGCGGAAUUCCUAGUGUAGCGGUGAAAUGCGGAGAUAUUAGGAGGAACACCGGUGGCGAAGGCGGCUUACUGGAUCGUAACUGACGUUGAGGCUCGAAAGCGUGGGGAGCAAACAGGAUUAGAGACCCUGGUAGUC